UCUUUACAGCUUACCCGACCAGUCGCCUCAUAAUGGGUACCUGUCUGAUGAGAACAGCCAGGACACCCAGGACAAUAAAUUGCUACCCCUAUGUGGCGGGGAUAGCGAAGAUGAUAGCUUUGACAUACUGCCAUCACCCCGGGUCUCACCCGACAUAACACAUAUCCCAAAUGUUGUUGUUAUAUCAGACUCGGAGACUACGCAAGG
RNAcentral lists this long non-coding RNA (207 nucleotides) under Octopus vulgaris (common octopus). The record is from RNAcentral. Lineage: Eukaryota; Metazoa; Mollusca; Cephalopoda; Octopoda; Octopodidae.